GCCAGAGCACAUACAGACGUCACGCACCGGAUGCCGUGCAUGCGCUCAGGGCAGUUGGACAUAGUGGUGUAUUAGAGAUUGUGUGCCCAGGACUGACAGACUGCAACGAUUUGAGUUAAAAAUCUUUGUUUGUGUUCUACUGAAGAAUCAAAGUCACCUACAUCUUGGAUGCCCUGGGGGCACCAGCUUCAAGUUUAUGGCGUUAUCCGAAGGAACAGCUGCCGGGAGGAAUCACAUGUCCAAGUCCUGUCCAGGUGAUUUCCCCAGCACCUGGGCCGUGUCAGCAGAACCGUCGGUCAGCCCGCGGGAAGCUCACGCUGACCUCUUUUAUGCGGAAGAGAGAGUUUUGAGCAGUCUGUUUGCCUGUUGUGUGGAUGUGUUUUUUUUGUUUUUUUUUUGACAAGCCGAAGCAUGUGCACUCGUGCAGACAGUGAUACAGACCAACUGGCUGCUUCAAAACGCUAAAGAAUCUUACCAGACAAGAACCACACUACUGCAGCCAGGUUUCAUCAAUGCAAUGCAUGACAUCAGAAGCUGUUGUCCCUCAUUGCAUCACUACAAGAGUGACGCAUAGUAAAUAUAUAAUUCAAAAACUAAUAUAUCUCAAUCAUAGACUGCAAUGUGAUUAAAUGGAGAGUGUGGCUGGAAAAUUUCCCUCUGGACUAGUUUAUUUGCACAGUAGUGCGUUAAGCAGCUGUUUAUGUGUCCUUGUGUUGUGAUUGAGAGUACCAUAAACACGCUCCUACCAAAUUUUAUUUGGAAAUAAUAGUGUGACAUUGGUUGUUUAUGGAAAACCACUGGCUUUUGGGAAUAAGGCACAGUCUGUAAUUGGCCACAUUUACAAAAGAGGUGUUUUUGCACUGAACAUGUAAUAUUGUUAAUACUACAAAUACAGUUUGAUGUUUCAUUGA
Molecule: long non-coding RNA, 911 nt
Organism: Onychostoma macrolepis
Lineage: Eukaryota; Metazoa; Chordata; Actinopteri; Cypriniformes; Cyprinidae
Exons: 3
Source: RefSeq, a predicted model, not a curated record